CCGGCUCAUUCACUUCACUUUUUUUUUUUUCAUACACUCCUCUCUACACUCAUCUUCUCCACCGGCACUUCCACACCACCAUUUCUACCAUAAUUUUCCGGCAAGAUUACCGAAAAAUUCUUGAAAACCCAUAACACCUUCACAUCCUUUUUUUAAGUUUUGCUUGAUAUUGUUGAGAUUCUAGCUAAUCUCCUCUAGAGCUUGGAGGAUUAGGCUUUUUGCGGGUUGCAAGACUUUGUGACAACGGAAUCAAAUUCAGGUUAGUGCCCUUUCACUUUGGAUGACGCAUUCUUUCCUGUUGUCCAUGGAGGGAAGAGGUUCCUUGAUUGUGUGUGGGUGAGGCUGCUACCCAUGGGGCCAAGAGACCACAUGCAAGAGAGGUCCUA
Molecule: long non-coding RNA, 386 nt
Organism: Quercus lobata
Lineage: Eukaryota; Viridiplantae; Streptophyta; Magnoliopsida; Fagales; Fagaceae
Exons: 3
Source: RefSeq, a predicted model, not a curated record